GGUAAGAUGGCUGAGUGUUUAAGCGGUGGCUUGUAGCUCCACAUACAGAGGUUAAAUCCCCCUUCUUAUCA
RNAcentral lists this transfer RNA (71 nucleotides) under Callanthias japonicus. Its description in RNAcentral is "tRNA-Tyr". It matches the Rfam family "tRNA". From Rfam's summary of the family: Transfer RNA (tRNA) molecules are approximately 80 nucleotides in length. Their secondary structure includes four short double-helical elements and three loops (D, anti-codon, and T loops). The record is from RNAcentral. Lineage: Eukaryota; Metazoa; Chordata; Actinopteri; Callanthiidae.